Molecule: ribosomal RNA, 490 nt
Filed under: uncultured bacterium
Lineage: Bacteria
Description: partial 16S ribosomal RNA
Rfam family: Bacterial small subunit ribosomal RNA
Source: RNAcentral
GAUGAACGCUAGCUACAGGCUUAACACAUGCAAGUCGCGGGGCAGCAUGGGGGUUGCUUGCCAGCCCCGAUGGCGACCGGCGCACGGGUGAGUAACGCGUAUUCAACCUGCCCUUCACCACGGGAUAACCCGGCGAAAGUCGGACUAAUACCGUAUGUUGUCCAUUGACGGCAUCCGAUUUGGACGAAAGGCUUGGCGGUGAGGGAGGGGGAUGCGUCCGAUUAGCCAGACGGCGGGGUAACGGCCCACCGUGGCUACGAUCGGUAGGGGUUCUGAGAGGAAGGUCCCCCACACUGGAACUGAGACACGGUCCAGACUCCUACGGGAGGCAGCAGUGAGGAAUAUUAGUCAAUGGGCGUAAGCCUGAACCAGCCAAGUAGCGUGCAGGAGGACGGCCCUAUGGGUUGUAAACUGCUUUUAUGCGGGGAUAAAGUGGCCCACGUGUGGGCUUUUGCAGGUACCGCAUGAAUAAGGACCGGCUAAUUCCGUG